UAAAAAAAAAAGGAGUUCUGCUAUAGAAGGGAGGAGCUCUCUUGUUCUUCUUGCAUAGAAGCAGUCUCUGCAGCUUGGAACUUACCCCAUUUAGAAUGGAACCUAGGGAAGCUCCCUCCCUGCUUGGUUCUGCACAUGGAAGGAAAACGUGAUGUCUGCUGUCUGGCAUGCUUGUCAGGAGGAAAAGUGGCUGCUUAGCUUACAAACCUGCAGAAGGUUUCACCAUGGUCUUAUCCUCACCUCUGCUCUUAAUCCUUACCUCUCAGUGCAGAGCAAGCAGCCAAAGGUGACAGCAGCGCUCGGCUUUGCUUUAUGGCUCUCACACCUACACAAGAAGCACAACAUAGCAUAACUGACAAGCAAGAAAUAGAGAAGCAAAUGCCUUGACUUAUACAGAGCAGGGCUGGGAAAUCAGUCUGAUGGAAAACAAAAAGAGAAUACCUCUUGCUGUAAUAAAAC
This is a long non-coding RNA of Pogoniulus pusillus (Red-fronted tinkerbird), 459 nucleotides long. RefSeq lists it as uncharacterized. The record is from RefSeq and is a predicted model, not a curated record. NCBI's taxonomy places the organism in Eukaryota, Metazoa, Chordata, Aves, Piciformes, Lybiidae. The transcript is spliced from 4 exons.